Dipodomys ordii (Ord's kangaroo rat) is the source of this 133-nucleotide small nucleolar RNA. Its record names the gene SNORA71. It matches the Rfam family "Small nucleolar RNA SNORA71". From Rfam's summary of the family: The members of this family belong to the H/ACA class of snoRNAs which bind a number of proteins (including dyskerin, Gar1p and Nop10p) to form snoRNP complexes. This class of snoRNAs are thought to guide the sites of modification of uridines to pseudouridines by forming direct base pairing interactions with substrate RNAs. This family includes U71 (SNORA71), ACA39 (SNORA39) and ACA60 (SNORA60). NCBI's taxonomy places the organism in Eukaryota, Metazoa, Chordata, Mammalia, Rodentia, Heteromyidae. The record is from Ensembl.
CCCUGCAUUCGAAAGUGAUUGUGGGCUGCUGGUGCCCUGGUCAUUGAUAGUGCAGGGAAAGGAAUGCUGAAAGCUUUUCCCCGUGUUUGGAAGGUCCAUUCCUGUCCUUACCAAACCCUACAGCUUUCUCACA